Molecule: unclassified non-coding RNA, 230 nt
Filed under: Hevea brasiliensis (rubber tree)
Lineage: Eukaryota; Viridiplantae; Streptophyta; Magnoliopsida; Malpighiales; Euphorbiaceae
Source: RNAcentral
GACCCACACAGCAUAGCUGAAAGGGUACGCUUCUUACUCCAAAAUUUGGUUGUUUCUGUUGCUGAGAGAGUAUGCUAGAGUUGUACGUUAUCUGUAAUUAAAAUCUCUUUCCUUCUUUGUGCUUUCUUUGUUAUCUCUCGCGUUUUCUGGACAACCAAACGAAUUAGUGGGUUCCAUUCUGAUUUCUAAUAUAUCUUUUUCUCUGGACAGUUACGAAGGGAGAGAAUUGC